UGCUUCUUAUAUUAAUAAAAUAUAAUAUUUUUAUUAUACUUAAGUAUUCAUGAAAUUUGAAUAUAAUUCUAGGUAAAAAAUUGAUAAUGACAAAGUUUUAUCUAUUUGUCUUGACCAAAUCUUGUGCCAGCAGUCGCGGCAACACAAGGAAGACAAGUGUUAUUCAUCUUAAAUCGGUUUAAGGGGUACCUAGACGGUAAAUUAGGCCAUAGUAGGAACGUUUUUACUAGAGUUAUACAUGCAAGGGGAUUGUGUCAGUAUUACCAGAGUAGAGAUGAAAUUUUUUGAUACUG
RNAcentral lists this ribosomal RNA (293 nucleotides) under Astrothelium sp. MPN-2016d. RNAcentral describes it as "partial 12S small subunit ribosomal RNA". Lineage: Eukaryota; Fungi; Ascomycota; Dothideomycetes; Trypetheliales; Trypetheliaceae. The record is from RNAcentral.